This 1563-nucleotide long non-coding RNA is filed under the name Homo sapiens (human). RNAcentral's name for it is "HSALNT0109713". The stretch from base 878 to 1068 matches the Rfam family "U2 spliceosomal RNA". Lineage: Eukaryota; Metazoa; Chordata; Mammalia; Primates; Hominidae. The record is from RNAcentral.
GUAACAAGCCUGCACAUUGUGCACGUGUACCCUAGAAUUUAAAGUAUAAUAAAAAAAAAAAACAAAGAAAGAAAACUCCUCUAGCUGGGCAUGGUGGCUCACGCCUGUGAUCCCAGCAUUUUGGGAGGCUGCGGUAGAAGGAUCACUUGAGCCCAGGAGUUCAAGACCAGCCUGGGCAACAUAGGGAGACCCCUGUCUCUACAAAAAAUAAAAAAUUAGCUAGGUGUGAUGGCAUGCACCUGCAGUCCCAACUUCUCAGGAGGCUCAGGUGGGAGGAUCACUUGAGCCGAAGAGGUCAAGGCUAGAGUGAGCCAUGAUCAUAUCACUGCAGUCUAGCCUGCAUGACAGAGCAAGACCCUGUCAAAAAAAAAAAAAAAAAAAAGGAAGAAAGAGAGAGAGAGAGAGAGAAAGACAGAAGAAAGAAAGAAAAGAAAGAAAAGGAAAGAAAGAGAAAGAAGGAGGGAGGGAGGGAAGAAGGGAGAGAGGGAAGGAAAGAAGGAAAGAGGAAGGAAGGAAGGAAGGAAAAUUUAAAAUAUUUAUUGUGACAGAAAUAAAAAUUUGAAAUUGAAAAAUAUAAGCACAUUUAAGACAAUCUCCCAGAAAGUAAAAUUUAAGGAUGGAGAAUUUGAAAAGAAGGAAAAGAGAAAGAAGAUCUGUCCAGGAGGCCCAAUAUUUCAAAUAGGAAUUUCAGACAGAGAAAACAGAGUAAAUGAAGAGAGGAAAUUAACAAAAAAAUAAUUUAUGCAAAUACAUCAGAACUGAAAAACGUGAGUCUGCAGGUUGAAGUAGCUCACUGAGUGCUCAGCACAUGUGUGAAAUGAGUCCUACAUCAAGAAAUGUAAUAAUAAAAAGAGAUGAUCAUUAACACCUUUUUAAAAUUGCUUCUUGGCUUUUUGCCUAAGAUCAAGUACAGUGUCUCUUCUUAUCAGUUUAAUAUCUGAUACGUCCUUUGUCUGAGGACAAUAUAUUAAAUGGAUUUUUGGAGCAGGGAGAUGGAAUAGGAGCAUGCUCCAUCCACUCCACACAUAGACCUGGUAUUGCAGUACCUCCAGGAUCUGUGCUCUCUCACCCCACAUGCUAUAAACUAAAAAAAAGAGGCUGGGCGUGGUGGCUUAUGCUUGUAAUCCCAGCACUCUGGGAGGCUGAGGUGGGUUGAUCACUUGAGGUCAGGAGUUUGAGACCAGCCUAACCAACAUGGAGAAACCCAGUCUCUAGUUAAAAUAUAAAAAUUAGCUGGGUGUGAUGGCAUGCCCCUGUAAUCCCAGCUACUCAGGGAGGUUGAGGCAGGAGAAUAGUUUGAACUUGGGAGGCGGAGGUUGCAGUGAGCUGAGAUCAUGCCACUGCACUCCAGCGUGGGUGACAGAAUGAGACUUCGUCUCAAAAGAAAGAAAAGAAAGGAAGGAAGGAAGGAAGGAAGGAAGGAAGAAAAAAAAUUAAAAUAUUAUUAUUUAUUUAUUUUUGCAGUUUAAAACUUAUGCAUUGUUUAUUUCUGGAAUUUUCUUUUAAUAUUUUGGGACCUUAGUUGACCAUGAGUAACACAAACCACAGAAUGCAAAACAGUGG